GCAGCUUCAUUCAACAUAUCAGCUGCGUCUUUGUGCAUGUCUAACUUGGAAAGGGCAACUGCCUGCAUGUAAAAUGCCGUGGACCAUUCUGGGUACACACAUUGUGCUUGCAUUGCAUCUCUAAGGGCAGCAUCAGGUUGAUCACACAUAAGGUAGCAAAGGCUUCUCCGACCAUAAACAGUUGGUGAUACCAUUGUUCCGACAUCUAUGAACUGCAAUAAAGACAGCAUCAGGUUGAUCACACAUAAGAUAGCAAAGGCUUCUCCUAGCAUAAACAGUUGGUGAUACCAUUGUUCCGACAUCUAUGAACUGCAAUAAAGACGAAGAUACAAGCAUAUUUAAUCUGAAGCAUUCUUUAGUUGGUUCAUGCUAUCCAAAUUUAAAAAAGCUAAGCAGUACACCACCAUUGAAUAAAAACUGAGCUAAAUCUUACAUGACUCAAUAAGAAUAGAAGACACAAGCUAUUGCUCAAUGAACCGCACUGGAAAAGAACUUAUGGUGUAAACUAUCAAACACAUGAGAAAUUGUCCCUCUAAAUAAGCAGAACACACAAAUCUUUUCCCUAAAAGUUGGUUUAUGCUAAGAUUAUCAGCAGCACAUGGAGUC
This 606-nucleotide long non-coding RNA is filed under the name Nicotiana benthamiana. RNAcentral's name for it is "long non-coding RNA (NBEN_LNC029360)". Lineage: Eukaryota; Viridiplantae; Streptophyta; Magnoliopsida; Solanales; Solanaceae. The record is from RNAcentral.